GAUGAACGCUGGCGGCGUGCUUAACACAUGCAAGUCGAGCGAGUGAGUUCUUUGGAACGAUCUGGCGGCGGACGGGUGAGUAACACGUGGGCAACCUGCCUCAUAGAGGGGAAUAGCCUCCCGAAAGGGAGAUUAAUACCGCAUAAAAUUAUAGAGUGGCAUCACAUGAUAAUCAAAGGAGUAAUCCGCUAUGAGAUGGGCGCGUGGCCCAUUAGGUAGUUGGUGAGGUAACGGGUCACCAAGGCGACGAUCUGUAGCGGGUCUGAGAGGAUGAUCAGCCACACUGGGCCUGAGACACGGCCCAGACUCCUACGGGAGGCAGCAGUGGGGAAUUUUGGACAAGGGGCGCAACCCUGAUCCAGCAAUGCCGCGGGAGUGAAGAAGGCCUUCGGGUUGUAAAGCUCUUUCGGCCGGGAAGAAAUCGCACAGGCUAAUACCCUGUGUGGAUGACGGUACCGGCAUAAGAAGCACCGGCUAACUACGUGCCAGCCGCCGCCGUAA
Molecule: ribosomal RNA, 501 nt
Filed under: uncultured bacterium
Lineage: Bacteria
Description: partial 16S ribosomal RNA
Rfam family: Bacterial small subunit ribosomal RNA
Source: RNAcentral